Molecule: long non-coding RNA, 864 nt
Organism: Lolium perenne
Lineage: Eukaryota; Viridiplantae; Streptophyta; Magnoliopsida; Poales; Poaceae
Source: RefSeq, a predicted model, not a curated record
CCUGCUCUUCCCCGCACUCCCUUUGAGCCGCACUCCCAAAUCAGAACCCCACGCUCGCGAGCGUCCUCAUCCCUGGGCCAAUACCGACGUUCAUCUAUGAGGCAAGGCUAAUCGAUGCUAGGCCAGGAAAGAAUUGGCGUCCUAAUCUGAGGGGAAAGGAGGCAGCCGGGUGGGGAUUUUGAUCCAAGUUUCAGAGUUGAGGUGUUUGGGGCAAGAAAAAAAUUCAGCCGAUCCGUUGACCGGAGCUGCAGCCGCUCGUAACAAAAGGUUCAUCCCCGGCGGCGGCGGUCCGAUUCGAGACCUCGAGGCGGUUGCCCAGGCCGGCGGCGUUAAUAGGCGAAGGAGGAGUCUGCGGCCAGUGCCAAUGAUUUCAUUCACACCGUGGUAGCAGAUUCUCGUCAUGAAAAGAGCAUCCUCAACAGGAUGUCUUCCCUUCCUGGUGCGGUUCAGGGAGUACGGGCUGGUCUUACGGGUGGUGGCAGCCCCUGCUGUGUACGCUGGUCAGUGCAAGCAAAAGAAGAGUCCCAUCUGGACUGAAACAGUCAAGCACCACAUCGCUAAGCUAACAUGCCGUCAGAUAUAUAGCAUUCCUUAUGUCUUAUUUUGACUGUUAGUUUCGGAGAACCAAUUCCGGAGUACCUACAAGGAAGAAGAUGUGGAGAAGCUUGCAAGGAAGCUAGCUGACGUGCAGGUUGAGGUCGACAAAUUGAAGGCAGAGAACAAGAUGUUGCAUACAAAUCACAUAGAAGAUAUGAGAAAUAGGGAUAACAAAGAAAUGGCUUUCCUCUGUGUAGUUGGUAGUUGUGUAAUGCUGUAGUAUGUCUAUAAUGAGUGCAAUUUACCUGAAUAUAUUGUAAAUGUUGG